Fundulus heteroclitus (mummichog) is the source of this 2815-nucleotide RNA transcript. RefSeq lists it as uncharacterized. Lineage: Eukaryota; Metazoa; Chordata; Actinopteri; Cyprinodontiformes; Fundulidae. The record is from RefSeq and is a predicted model, not a curated record. The transcript is spliced from 10 exons.
ACUCUGACUAGCAGGUGUGGGAAGCUCUGGCUAGCAGGCGUAGGAAACUCUGGCUAGCAGGCGUGGGAAGCUCCCACCUUUGCACACAGCAAUUUUCAUUUAUUUGUAACGAAUGUUUUACAUCAUGUAGGAUAUUUCUUCUACUUCACAAUUGUAUAUGUUAUGUUGGACUUUCACAUAAGAUUCAAAUAAAAUAUUAUUUCAUGUUGGUGGAUGUAAUGUGACUAAAUUUGGGAAAGUUCAGAAAAGGGCCACAGGAAGCACGGUCUGAGUUCAUCAGAGUGCAUUUAGAAGCAGAACAACACCCUGGUUGUAAUCCUGUCAUCCUCAGAUACAGAAAGGAGCAGCAGCACAAAUGAAAAGUCUCAGGGUGGGGAGGCUAGAGUCCAGUUCAGGGCUUCGCCUGUUCCUGACAGUCCUGUAUCUGCUCACAAUGAGCUGCAGCUCCAAGUGUGACAGUCAAAGUGUCAGUCCAACCAUUCUCCACCACAGAAGAAGUUAUCAAUUGCACUGUUGAACUGGAGUCAUCAACUCUAAAGAGAACCAGGGAAGCGGCAAAUACUGAACCUGGACACAAGGAGGAUUCCUCCAUGCUAUCUUCUCCAGCUUCUAGACAACCUGACACGGAUAAAAGGAGGAAAAUAGCGUUUUGGCUUUUCCUGCUGCAACUGAUUUAUGAUAAGGUUACCCAACCUGGGGAUGACAUGCUACAUCAACUCCAUCCUCCAAAGCGUCCUUACUGACCCUGAGCUGUUCUCACCCAAGAUCCCAGCUCUUCAGAUGGUUUCUAGAUAUUGACGUCAGUCGCUACUCCAACAUCAGAGAGGAGAAUAAGUCGCUUCCAUCCUCUUUUUAAAUGGACCGUAGCUGAAUAUAAUUCAGAUUUUGACGAUGACGAGCAGAAGGAUGCCCAUGAGUUCCUCAUCUGUGUUCUGGACAAAAUGAGGUCUGUGUCAUCAGAAGUUGAGCUGACAGCUGUAAACUCUGGCCUGACCUACACGUGCCCAGUCCAUGAACAUAUUUCAGUUCAGAUGCUGAACAUCAGGACCUGCAGGGGAUGUGGUGAGCAGUCCUAUAGAUUGGAGGACUUUGUUAACCUCACUCUGGAGCUGGUACCAGGGGGAACGGUGAGCCAGUGUCUGCAGGAGUAUUUCAAGGGGGACCAGAUAGAUCACACGUGCCACUGUGGAGCGCAGCAGUCGUCCCUGCAGAGCUCAUUCUCCACCCUGCCAAAAAUGUCAUCACAUCUGUGAGAGUAUCCAAAGAGGGCUGGAUAUGGGGGAUUCAGCAAACUCUUGGCCAACGGAUGAUGAUGAACAUGUCAGCCAAACAACAGGAGAAGAUGUCUGCUGCCGUAGACUAAGAAACGCUUCCCUAGUCUUCUAUGAAAACCAGGGUGCUCCUCUCGACUUACGCGGCAGAGAAGGUCGAGCAACGGCUUCCUUGGACCCACGCGUCACACUGCAGGAAGGUGCCGCCACCGCCAGAGGCCGACAAAUCGCAGGACAGGAAAGAUCACACGCCAGGAUCGUCGCCAUCCACCUGAGCCACCGAGCUGGCUGUGAGGACAGCGGCCCACCACAAGUUGUUUUUUUGCAGGAAGAGGUGGGUGAAGAGCACUGCUCCGACGGAAUCACAAUAACAUUCCGGGCAGUGAUUUGAGUUGCUUGUCUCCAGAGAGAGAGACAACAGAGUUUGAGACCUCCGCAGUAUCUGUUAGCUUCUUUACGGGUCAAACGGAUGCAGAGACUGGUGUUUUUCCUGGGAAACAUGCACAAAGAUGUUGAAAUUGAUCUGAUCUGAGUGACGAUGAUGAUUGUGAGGUUAAUGAUACAACCUGUUGAAGUGGAUUUCCUUUUUCCUUCUUGGUGACUAUUCCUUGUAAUGCUUUUGAAAAUGUUCCUGUAGGUUUGAUUUUAUUGAUUUGUUUGAUGAUAUUGAUUUGUUUGAUUUUCCAUUUUACAGUAGUAUUGUCAGAUUGUUGUUUUUUUUCCCCGUUACAUUUUCUUUUUUAUUAUCAAUUUAGAUUUAUGCAUGAAUUAAAAUGUUUAGUUGUAUUAGUUUAGUUUUGCUUAAGCAAUGUUUUGAUAUUUGAAGUUUCAAAUGUUUUUCCUGACAUGAUUCUUUUUUGUUCUCACUGCUUGAUGAAAGAAAUGGAGUUUUCUCAUACCAAAGAUCACUGAUUUAUGCAAUUUUGUUUAUUACAGAAGGACAGACCUGGGAUCUGAUUGGCUCUAUAGAUCCUUUAAUAAUAGCUGGUAAUGGUAACUCCUAGAUUCAACACGGGGUUUUCUGGCUCAGAUUGGCCGAGAGCAGAUCUCCCUGGGGGUCUCACCAGUUUUUACUACUCUUGUGGGUAGCGUUUUCUGGUUGUUUCCCCGCCCACACUGAACCUCUCCUGCUUUUGCUCCUGGUUUGGUAAGUUUGAGGAUGGUGGAUGGUUAUCCAUCGAAGUGGUGAGUGGAGGAUCGAGUAGGAGGGUUUUCAGGGUGGGGAGAGGGUAGACGGAUUCGACCUUAAUUAGUAUACAGGCUUAGCUUAAGUAGUCUAAUAUACAAAAAUAAUCUGUGCAUAGGGACCUAAAACAGGCCUUACUUAAUUAGUUGAACCCUAAAUUGUAGGUGAAUGCUAAACCUUUGAUCUUGUGUGUUAAAACUCCAUUAAGCAUUCAAGCUGAUCUUUACUAAAAGUUCCAGCACACGUGAUUUGUAACUGUUAUGAGUCCUUGGUGUUGUAUUUGCAUAUUUAUGUGACGAGUUAUCUUGUUUUUCAAUAAAUACUGUUUCUCAAUAAAAGUGCUGGAACUUCAUCACUC